RNAcentral lists this ribosomal RNA (736 nucleotides) under uncultured eukaryote. RNAcentral describes it as "bacterial SSU rRNA". It matches the Rfam family "Bacterial small subunit ribosomal RNA", at positions 727 to 1464 of the family's 1533-position model. The record is from RNAcentral.
CCUGAUUUCGCGACUGACACUCAGGGACGAGAGCCAGGGGAGCGAAUGGGAUUAGAUACCCCAGUAGUCCUGGCCGUAAACGAUGGAUACCAAGCCCUGCGCGUAUCGACCUGGGCAGGGCUGUAGCUAACGCAUGAAGUAUCCCGCCUGGGGAGUACGCUCGCAAGAGUGAAACUCAAAGGAAUUGACGGGAGCCCGCACAAGCGGUGGAGCAUGUGGUUUAAUUCGAUGCAACGCGAAGAACCUUACCAGGGCUUGACAUGCCGCGAACCCCCCUGAGAGGGGGGGGUGCCUUCGGGAGCGCGGACACAGGUGGUGCAUGGCUGUCGUCAGCUCGUGUCGUAAGAUGUUGGGUUCAGUCCCGCAACGAGCGCAACCCCCGUCUCUAGUUGCCCACAAUUCGGCACCCUAGAGAGACCGCCGGUGUUAAGCCGGAGGAAGGUGGGGAUGAGGUCAAGUCAACAUGCCCCUUUUGCCCUGGGCGACACGCGUGCUACAAUGGCCGGGACAAAGAGAUGCGACCCCGCAAGGGCCAGCCUGACCUCGUAAACCCGGCCUCAGUUCGGAUUGUAGGCUGCAACCCGCCUACAUGAAGGAGGAAUCGCUAGUAAUCACCGGUCAGCCAUACGGUGGUGAAUCCGUUCCCGGGCUUUGCACACACCGCCCGUCACACUAUGGGAAUCGGCCAUGCCCCAAGUCGUUACCCCAACCCGUAGGGAGGGGGAUGCCAAAGGCA